CCAAGCUGUGCUGAGGAAGUGAUUUACGAAAAGCAAUAUUUUCCAAGGCGGAACAUGGGUGUUUUCCAGAAAGGAGUUCUUCAAUAAAGAUUCAGAAUAUCCACACUCCCUUCUGUAUUGGCGACGUCGUCAAAAUUUCACAAUGCC
Octopus sinensis (East Asian common octopus) is the source of this 147-nucleotide long non-coding RNA. RefSeq lists it as uncharacterized. Lineage: Eukaryota; Metazoa; Mollusca; Cephalopoda; Octopoda; Octopodidae. The transcript has 3 exons. The record is from RefSeq and is a predicted model, not a curated record.